Molecule: long non-coding RNA, 537 nt
Organism: Spinacia oleracea (spinach)
Lineage: Eukaryota; Viridiplantae; Streptophyta; Magnoliopsida; Caryophyllales; Amaranthaceae
Exons: 3
Source: RefSeq, a predicted model, not a curated record
UAUUACUAUUCAUCUCUUUAUUCAACUUCUAAUUCCCCUAAAACCGUAAAGAAACCUUCAAGGCGCCGAUACAAUUGAACUUCACGGCCAAAAGCCUAUACACAGUAGAUAAACCUUCAAGCUAGGCUUCAAUUCGUUGUUCUCAAGAACGAUGACGAAUUUCAUCAACAGAGAUUCUCCGUGGAGGUAAUUCCCCCGAAUUAGCUUCAAUUUAUUGGAGCCUUUAAUAGUCAACAACAAAUGGAUAAAGAUCGAAAAUGUGGACAACCUACAGAACGAAGAUGCACGAGAUUUGAAUGCGGAGCAAUUUAGUGGGAAUAAUCAAGAUAUGGAAUUGGAAAAAGGUAAACGUCUGUAAAAUUAUACUACUUUCAUGUGACUUCUUAAUUUAAUUUGCAAACCUGAAGAGGAGAUGAUUGGAGAUAAUAUGGAGACAAACUUUGAUCAUGUUGGACCAACUGGAAGAGAUGGAUUGGUAGAUGCACUUCUUGAUGAUAUCAAUGGUGCCCUUGUGAAUAUGGAAGUGGAGCUUGAUAA